CAGUCGCCACGGUAAUACGUAGGGGGCAAGCGUUGUCCGGAAUCAUUGGGCGUAAAGCGCGUGUAGGCGGCUCGGAAAGUCUGGUGUGAAAACUUGAGGCUCAACCUCAAGGGUGUCGCUGGAUACUAUCGAGCUCGAGUCCGGAAGAGGAGAGUGGAAUUCCUGGUGUAGCGGUGGAAUGCGCAGGUAUCAGGAGGAACACCAAUGGCGAAGGCAGCUCUCUGGUACGUGACUGACGCUGAGACGCGAAAGCGUGGGGAGCAAACAGGAUUAGAUACCCGCGUAGUCCCUGUCUCUUAUA
Molecule: ribosomal RNA, 301 nt
Filed under: uncultured bacterium
Lineage: Bacteria
Description: partial 16S ribosomal RNA
Rfam family: Bacterial small subunit ribosomal RNA
Source: RNAcentral